RNAcentral lists this ribosomal RNA (516 nucleotides) under Fusarium cf. oxysporum DY31-W1306-PA1. RNAcentral describes it as "eukaryotic LSU rRNA". The stretch from base 146 to 299 matches the Rfam family "5.8S ribosomal RNA". The record is from RNAcentral. Lineage: Eukaryota; Fungi; Ascomycota; Sordariomycetes; Hypocreales; Nectriaceae.
AGUUUACAACUCCCAAACCCCUGUGAACAUACCAAUUGUUGCCUCGGCGGAUCAGCCCGCUCCCGGUAAAACGGGACGGCCCGCCAGAGGACCCCUAAACUCUGUUUCUAUAUGUAACUUCUGAGUAAAACCAUAAAUAAAUCAAAACUUUCAACAACGGAUCUCUUGGUUCUGGCAUCGAUGAAGAACGCAGCAAAAUGCGAUAAGUAAUGUGAAUUGCAGAAUUCAGUGAAUCAUCGAAUCUUUGAACGCACAUUGCGCCCGCCAGUAUUCUGGCGGGCAUGCCUGUUCGAGCGUCAUUUCAACCCUCAAGCCCCCGGGUUUGGUGUUGGGGAUCGGCGAGCCCUUGCGGCAAGCCGGCCCCGAAAUCUAGUGGCGGUCUCGCUGCAGCUUCCAUUGCGUAGUAGUAAAACCCUCGCAACUGGUACGCGGCGCGGCCAAGCCGUUAAACCCCCAACUUCUGAAUGUUGACCUCGGAUCAGGUAGGAAUACCCGCUGAACUUAAGCAUAUCAAAA